CGCGGCCUAUCAGCUUGUUGGUGAGGUAACGGCCCACCAAGGCUAUGACGGGUAGGCGGAGUGAGAGCUUGUUCGCCAACAGGGGCACUGAGACACGGGUCCCACUCCUACGGGAGGCAGCAGUCGAGAAUCUUGGACAAUGGGGGCAACCCUGAUCCAGCAAUGCCGCGUGCGGGAUGAAGGCCUUCGGGUUGUAAACCGCUUUUAUGGAGGAAGAAGCUUCGGCUGACGGUACUCCAUGAAUAAGGGGUCGCUAAACUCGUGCCAGCAGCGGCGGUAACACGAGCACCCCGAGCGUUAUCCGGAUUUAUUGGGCGUAAAGCGUUCGUAGCCGGUCUGGCAAGUCUCCGGUUAAAUACCUCGGGCUCAACCUGAGGAAUGCCGGGGAAACUGUCAGACUAGAGGGUGUCAGGGGUUGAUGGAACGCACGGUGGAGGGGUGAAAUCCGUUGAUAUCGUGCGGAACACCAAAAGCGAAGGCAUUCAACUGGGGCAACCCUGACGGUGAGGAACGAAAGCGUGGGGCGUAAAGAGGAUUAGAUACCCUCGUAAUCCACGCUGUAAACUUUGGGUGCUAGCUAUGUGAAGUGUCGACCCUUUACGUGGCGAAGCUAACGCGUUAAGCACCCCGCCUGGGGAGUACGG
Molecule: ribosomal RNA, 644 nt
Filed under: uncultured bacterium
Lineage: Bacteria
Description: bacterial SSU rRNA
Rfam family: Bacterial small subunit ribosomal RNA
Source: RNAcentral